Molecule: ribosomal RNA, 465 nt
Filed under: Vreelandella stevensii
Lineage: Bacteria; Pseudomonadati; Pseudomonadota; Gammaproteobacteria; Oceanospirillales; Halomonadaceae
Description: partial 16S ribosomal RNA
Rfam family: Bacterial small subunit ribosomal RNA
Source: RNAcentral
CCUACGGGUGGCUGCAGUGGGGAAUAUUGGACAAUGGGCGAAAGCCUGAUCCAGCCAUGCCGCGUGUGUGAAGAAGGCCUUCGGGUUGUAAAGCACUUUCAGUGGGGAAGAAAGCCUUGGGGCUAAUACCCUCGAGGAAGGACAUCACCCACAGAAGAAGCACCGGCUAACUCCGUGCCAGCAGCCGCGGUAAUACGGAGGGUGCGAGCGUUAAUCGGAAUUACUGGGCGUAAAGCGCGCGUAGGCGGUCUGAUAAGCCGGUUGUGAAAGCCCCGGGCUCAACCUGGGAACGGCAUCCGGAACUGUCAGGCUAGAGUGCAGGAGAGGAAGGUAGAAUUCCCGGUGUAGCGGUGAAAUGCGUAGAGAUCGGGAGGAAUACCAGUGGCGAAGGCGGCCUUCUGGACUGACACUGACGCUGAGGUGCGAAAGCGUGGGUAGCAAACAGGAUUACAUACCCGGGUAGUC